RNAcentral lists this long non-coding RNA (791 nucleotides) under Danio rerio (zebrafish). RNAcentral describes it as "si:dkeyp-74f1.2 (ENSDARG00000097512.2)". Lineage: Eukaryota; Metazoa; Chordata; Actinopteri; Cypriniformes; Danionidae. The record is from RNAcentral.
UUCCUAAAAACGAGGACAUGGAAAAUAUAUUAGAACCCGGGAUUUUCGUGCACUAAUCAUUUUGAAAUUAAGGGUUCUCUCCAGGUGUUCGUCUUCCUCUUCAGCCCUGCCGACACACACACACACACACACACACACACACACACACACACACACUGGAUCAGAGGUCAUUGAUGGAGAAGCAUGAGAACAGCAGAUGCACCUUCAGUACCUAUGACCUGAACUCUGGCUGAAGGCUCACUUUGACUCCUGAAAUUCUCACAAGUCCUGACUCCACCUAAACACACUCUGUGGCAAAGAGAUGUGGGUGACUGCAAUCUGUGGCGUUUAAAACCCUCUCGGAACAACACUAUUGGGCCUAAUUCUGUCCCACAAUCCCACAGUGCCUUGCGGCAAGGAGACUCACUCUUUCUCCUGGGCGUCCAGGUCUCGGACCAGCGCAUCUCGUUUGUUGACUAGAAUGACCAGCUCAUCCAGCAGCAGCUGCUCUCGCCGCUUCUGGGCCUCUGUCUUCUGCCAGUCUGGAGGAUGGAGAGGAAAAGAGGAAUGUUAGAGGGAAAAAAACUCAGGACUUCAAAUGAUGAACAUGAACAUGACAGGUGAUCAUUUACAAACCCUCCAAACCUGUCUGAAUAUCAAGCUCUAAUAGAUUUAGAAAAAUCAUCCAGACUCAUCUGGGGUUCAAACUACACCAACCUUCAGAAUUGCAUUUUGUCAUGUAGCAUGGCUUUAUUCCUCUGGUGCUGUUCAUGUAUCUUUAUUUUAAUCUAAUAUAAUUUAACAUAAUUUAU